UGGCGCGAGAAUAUUGGCACAAUGGGGGAAACCCUGAUGCAGCAACGCCGCGUGGAGGAUGACGCAUUUCGGUGUGUAAACUCCUUUUAUAUAGGAAGAUAAUGACGGUACUAUAUGAAUAAGCACCGGCUAACUCCGUGCCAGCAGCCGCGGUAA
Molecule: ribosomal RNA, 156 nt
Filed under: uncultured bacterium
Lineage: Bacteria
Description: partial 16S ribosomal RNA
Rfam family: Bacterial small subunit ribosomal RNA
Source: RNAcentral